UGCAGUCGAGCGGAGACGACACUAACAAUCCUUCGGGUGCGUUAAUGGGCGUCGAGCGGCGGACGGGUGAGUAAUGCCUAGGAAAUUGCCUUGAUGUGGGGGAUAACCAUUGGAAACGAUGGCUAAUACCGCAUAAUGCCUACGGGCCAAAGAGGGGGACCUUCGGGCCUCUCGCGUCAAGAUAUGCCUAGGUGGGAUUAGCUAGUUGGUGAGGUAAUGGCUCACCAAGGCGACGAUCCCUAGCUGGUCUGAGAGGAUGAUCAGCCACACUGGAACUGAGACACGGUCCAGACUCCUACGGGAGGCAGCAGUGGGGAAUAUUGCACAAUGGGCGAAAGCCUGAUGCAGCCAUGCCGCGUGUAUGAAGAAGGCCUUCGGGUUGUAAAGUACUUUCAGUUGUGAGGAAGGGGGUAGUGUUAAUAGCGCUAUCUCUUGACGUUAGCAACAGAAGAAGCACCGGCUAACUCCGUGCCAGCAGCCGCGGUAAUACGGAGGGUGCGAGCGUUAAUCGGAAUUACUGGGCGUAAAGCGCAUGCAGGUGGUUCAUUAAGUCAGAUGUGAAAGCCCGGGGCUCAACCUCGGAACUGCAUUUGAAACUGGUGAACUAGAGUACUGUAGAGGGGGGUAGAAUUUCAGGUGUAGCGGUGAAAUGCGUAGAGAUCUGAAGGAAUACCAGUGGCGAAGGCGGCCCCCUGGACAGAUACUGACACUCAGAUGCGAAAGCGUGGGGAGCAAACAGGAUUAGAUACCCUGGUAGUCCACGCCGUAAACGAUGUCUACUUGGAGGUUGUGGCCUUGAGCCGUGGCUUUCGGAGCUAACGCGUUAAGUAGACCGCCUGGGGAGUACGGUCGCAAGAUUAAAACUCAAAUGAAUUGACGGGGGCCCGCACAAGCGGUGGAGCAUGUGGUUUAAUUCGAUGCAACGCGAAGAACCUUACCUACUCUUGACAUCCAGAGAAGCCAGCGGAGACGCAGGUGUGCCUUCGGGAACUCUGAGACAGUGCUGCAUGGCUGUCGUCAGCUCGUGUUGUGAAAUGUUGGGUUAAGUCCCGCAACGAGCGCACCCUUAUCUUGUUUGCCGCGAGUAUGUCGGAACUCCGGGAGACUGCCGUGAUAACCGGAGGAAGGUGGGACAACUCAGUCAUCUGGCCUUACAAUAGGCUACACCUGCUACAUG
This 1177-nucleotide ribosomal RNA is filed under the name Vibrio sp. Its description in RNAcentral is "bacterial SSU rRNA". It matches the Rfam family "Bacterial small subunit ribosomal RNA", at positions 56 to 1231 of the family's 1533-position model. The record is from RNAcentral. Lineage: Bacteria; Pseudomonadati; Pseudomonadota; Gammaproteobacteria; Vibrionales; Vibrionaceae.